UUACGGGAGGCAGCAGUGAGGAAUAUUGCGCAAUGGGCGGAAGCCUGACGCAGCGACGCCGCGUGGGGGAUGACGGCCUUCGGGUUGUAAACCUCUUUCGGCAGGGACGAAGCGAAAGUGACGGUACCUGCAGAAGAAGCACCGGCCAACUACGUGCCAGCAGCCGCGGUAAUACGUAGGGUGCAAGCGUUGUCCGGAAUUAUUGGGCGUAAAGAGCUCGUAGGCGGUUUGUUGCGUCGGCUGUGAAAUCCCGAGGCUCAACCUCGGGUCUGCAGUCGAUACGAGCAAACUAGAGUGUUGCAGGGGAGACUGGAAUUCCUGGUGUAGCGGUGAAAUGCGCAGAUAUCAGGAGGAACACCGGUGGCGAAGGCGGGUCUCUGGGCAACAACUGACGCUGAGGAGCGAAAGCGUGGGGAGCGAACAGGAUUAGAUACCCCGGUAC
RNAcentral lists this ribosomal RNA (442 nucleotides) under uncultured bacterium. RNAcentral's name for it is "bacterial SSU rRNA". It matches the Rfam family "Bacterial small subunit ribosomal RNA", at positions 339 to 793 of the family's 1533-position model. The record is from RNAcentral.